UAUUAAUAAAAAUCUUUUUGAUGUAAUUUAGUUUUUUUAAUUUGAUAUCAUUGAUAUUUAAUAUUUAUAUUAUCUAUUUUUUAUUAUACCGCUUACUUGAGUAAUGGUAUGCUCUGUAGAUAUAUGAGCAACAUCUUAUUUGUAAAAUAUACUAUUUUAAAAAUAAGUGUAUGAAAAACAUCGAAGCUGUAAUGUUGCAUUGUUU
Molecule: small RNA, 205 nt
Filed under: Rickettsia prowazekii
Lineage: Bacteria; Pseudomonadati; Pseudomonadota; Alphaproteobacteria; Rickettsiales; Rickettsiaceae
Description: partial sR1 non-coding RNA
Source: RNAcentral